This is a long non-coding RNA of Eleginops maclovinus (Patagonian blennie), 3542 nucleotides long. RefSeq lists it as uncharacterized. The record is from RefSeq and is a predicted model, not a curated record. The transcript is spliced from 2 exons. Lineage: Eukaryota; Metazoa; Chordata; Actinopteri; Perciformes; Eleginopidae.
CUCCAGGAGAGGAGUGGGCAGAAGAAUUGUGGAUGCCUUGGAUAACCGUACAGAGGUCCAAGCUUGACAAACCUAUUCCACAGCCUCCCCCAUUAGAAGGGGAGAUGCAGGGUGAAGCCGAAGGAGAGUAUGCUUCUGCAGGCCAGCCAGAGGAGGAGUUGCUGCUGGCAGGGCUCACACACUCCCUGUAGGCCCCAAGAGCUUUAGUGCCAAGGCUUGGCUCCAGGGUCAGAGAGUCGCCUGACGGAGUGAUCUCAAUUCUUGGACUGGAGGCAGGGAUGUUCCCCAGUCUUGAUGCCAGCCCCAGGGAGUCAAGCACGGCUCCAGACAGGGUUUCUGUUGUGGGGCUGUGAGAGGAGGUGUCUUGACAAGGGUCUGGCUGGCUGGAGCUGGAGAUGUAGGCAGUGUGAUUGUCGUCCACCAGCAGAGGAGGCUGGUUGUUAUUCUGAAGGAGAACCCUUGAGUCAUCUGUCAAAAAUGAGUGCAGAUUGUGCUAACACUUGGAGGAAAUAAACCAGUUCCAAGGCAACUGACUUAUAUCAGAAGGUAAAGUAUAGCAACACAUGUACCUAUUACUUAUUUCUUAGAAAUCACAAGUAUAUAACUGGUCAGAUGAUAAGAUGUUUUUCAGUUAAGAAGAAAAAAACCCAGUCCUGUGACACCUUUUUUUAUUUUGCUUCUCAUUCCAUAUACAGUAAAAUGCUAUGCUCCUAAAUUCAUUACUACAUGUCAUAACAUUUGUAGUCAUUAGUAAUGUCUGUGUACAUUAGCAGUAAACUAUUGAACCAUGCAGGCAUUUUCUGUUCUAACUCUCUGAAACAACCUCCCUGAAGAAAUCAGACUUGUGAGCUCCUUAUCCCCUUUUAAAUCCCUCUUUAAAAAUUCCCUCUCAUAAGUGUGCUUUCACAGGGUUUGUGUCCUGAAUUCACUUUUAUAAGCCAAGCCACUUCUUAAUAGCUUUAUUACACAAAGGCAUUCACUUUAAUGUAGUGAUUUGUUCUUAUUAGUAUUUGUAUUGAAUUUUGAAAAUUGCAUAAACUUUGACUGAAACAAUCACUAAAGUGGAUUCAUCUUCACGUUGCUUUAUUCACAGUACUGGUUAAAUUUAACACAUUGAUUACUCUAUCAAGGCUGUUUACCUAAAAACCAGGGGUUGUGGAUUAAUCCUCACUCUGCAUGAUCAGUUAAGUCAACUUAACUGAUCAUACUGCAUCUAGAUGUACAUGCGCUGCUCACAAAACUCAGUUCCACUAUAGACUGUAGAAUUGUGUGAAAAGUGCAGAUAUUGCCUCAAACCCCAGUUGAAGUUGAAAUGCAUCACACUUGCUGCAUAAAAUGUAUUUUAAUGUUAUUGCCGCUUGAAGUUUACUUGUACCAAUUAUUUGAUUUAAACACCAUUGGAUAGUUUAGGUAAAUAUUGAAUAUGUCUUAGAAACAAUGUAACUAUGACUGUUAAAUGAAAAAAGACAGCGAGACACUAUGCAAGUAGCUGACCUGACACGGAGCAAUUGAGGUUUAGUGAUUACCACUGUCGGUAGUUAUUUAUUGAAUUUGUGUCAAACACAGUUGUCCACAGGCAAUAAAAACACACACAAAAAAAAACAUAAUCCCAUAUCAGCACGUCCCAUCACCAGAAGAGGGCCAUAAUAACAUCAUACAUCUGGUGAAAUAAACACCAAAUGCACACAAAUUGGUGUUUGCAUAGAUUUUCAACUAUAGAUGUGUAGGUCAUUUGAGACUCAACAUUUGUUUUCCAUUGUGAGGAAGCACCAACUCCAAACCCUUGUUUUGUUAAGAAUGUCAACAUUUAUUAACAGUCUUCUUUAUUUCAUUUUAGUGUCUCAUAUCCAUGAACAGAGGCAAAUAAACAUAUUACACAUUUUAAUAAAGUUUAGCUCUUUGAAAUAUAUUAAACAAACAUACUGUCAUAAAAGCCAUUACAAUUUUCUGAUUUUUAGUCCUAUGGUGAUUUACAAGUGAGAGUGCCUCUGCAGGCCCUCAACCUUUAUAUGUGACUGAGAGGGAAUGGACAUUUUUUAAUACGUUUUGAACAGAAGCACUUUUACUUUUGGUAUGUUUUUGAAACAGUAACACAUUUUGUGUUGUGAGCACGCUACUAAUCACCUUACCUCUCCUCCCCUCAUUUACCCCCACCCCGCCUCACCUUACUUCAACUUACCACGGCCAUGUUGGAGGUAACUUCUGCAAGGAAACAUCGAGACAGGGGGAGGAUCUGCACUAAUGCGACCCUUUUAUUAUAGGCUUUUUUACAGGCAGCCUGUUUCUUUUGACAGGAAAGAUUUCAGUUAUGUUGCCUGAGGCUAGUUUAUGUGUACAGAGGAUAUACAACCUGAUAAUCUAUUUAUCUCCAAGAUUGAACCAUAAUGAAUUAGAUUUUAAGUUUAAGAUUUACUAAACAUGUCCAUCCAAUAAAAAGAAAUGAAUUAAUAAACACUAUCAAGUAUAUUAGCUAGAGAAAUGGUUGCCUGGUAUUCUUUAAGGAAUUGGCAGAUGUGUUGCUUCAUUCAAAAUCAAACUUUAUUUAAAAGUCUGUGUUUAAACAGUCCUUCAAAAAUAUUGAUAAGAUGAGAAUAUAACUUAUGGACACUUCCUUUUUCCAAAUGUUUUAUUUUUAUUGUACAUUAAUAUUUUGUUUACACUCUUUCUGUCAUUUCUGCCUGCAUUCAUUUUAAAAAUAUAUUUGGAUUUUUAAUCUAUUUAAUUACGACAUAACAGACAUUCAACAGAGCUGGAGCCUCUAAUAUAUAUUUUUGUAUCAUAUUACAUUUUUUACAUGUACUUUCAUUACAACCAUUGUUUUUUUUAUAAUGUUGAAUUCCAGAGGUUAAUGGCAACACAACAUGUUAGAAAUCUCAUCACUUCUUUUCAAAAAUCCCGGUUUCAAUAAGUUUAUGAUUACAUUUAAAAAUAUAUAAUGAAAACCUUUUAUUAGUGUCAAAAAAAUAUAUAAGAAAGACAAUUGUAUGUCAAAUCCUGCACACUUUAACUUUUCAUGCCUGAAAAAAUCUUUCUGAAGAGAAAAAGCUCUUGAGGCCAGAACUUGGUCACCAGCAGACAAUUCUUCAUUUUAAGAGUCACAAGCUACACAGAAAGACAUUAUGCUAAACACAAGUGACCGUUUCACAUCAUUUGAAAGCAUUUAAUCAAACUUUUUGAUCUGAAAAUAUUUAGAUUUAUUUGACUUGAAAAAGUACAGAUUAGCUAUAGUUAUCCUUAGUUUAAUCCAGCAUCAGAUUGAAAAAAAACAGAGCUUGUUUGAUAGAGAAAACAGACCUGGGCAGGAAUACUAAGCUUUUUAACUGUUUAUUUAGCUCUGUACUCAAGCUGUAAAAAGUCUAAUCACCCAUAAUACCAAGUAUUGGCAAUGCACCAAAAUAUACAUUUAUGAGUGUAUUUUAUUUCAGUGAACAAAAUAUGUCUCUACAUAAAACAAUAUUACACAUAUAUUACAUUUAAAUAUAUAUAUAUAUAUAUAUAUAUAUAUAUAUAUAUACAUAUAUAUAUAUAUAUAUAUAUAUAUA